Molecule: ribosomal RNA, 300 nt
Filed under: uncultured bacterium
Lineage: Bacteria
Description: bacterial SSU rRNA
Rfam family: Bacterial small subunit ribosomal RNA
Source: RNAcentral
AAUGAACGUUGGCGGCGUGCUUAACACAUGCAAGUCGAGCGAGAAAGUCCCUUCGGGGGCGAGUAGAGCGGCGGACUGGUGAGGAACACGUGAGAAUCUGCCCUACAGUGAAGGAUACCACUGGGAAACUGGUGUUAAUACUGCAUACGUCCCUUCGGGGAGAAAAACAGCUUUAUGCUGUUGCUGUUGGAUGAGCUUGCGUACUAUUAGCUUGUUGGUGAGGUAAUGGCUCACCAAGGCGAUGAUGGUUAACCGGCCUGAGAGGGUGUACGGUCACAUUGGAACUGAGAUACGGUCCAG